UAAUAAGGGUAACUGGAUGCCCUAAUGGUUGUGUCAAACCUUAUAUGGCUGAGCUUGGACUGGUUAGCGAUGGACCCAAUAUGUACUAGGUUUGGCUCGAGGGAACGCCUAACCAAACCUCACUAGCAAAAUGUUUCAUGAAUAAGGUGAAGAUUUAUGAUCUAGAAAAGGUUUUGGAGCCAUUGUUCUACAACUGGAGGCGCAAAUGCCAACAGGGAGAAUCUUUCAGCGAUUUCACAACCUGCCUGGCUUUGACAAACUGAAAGAGACAGUUGAGAAGUGGGAGGGCAUAGCAAAGGCACCGGCACGAUUUAAUCUAAAGCUUUUUGCUGAUAAAGACACAUAUGAAGCCAUGGAUGAAGUUGCAAAGCUGCAGAACAAGACUACUCACCAGCUGGCCAUGGAAGUCAUCUGCAACUGAAAUGAAAGUGUUUCUCUUGCCUUGCUUCAAUCUGAGGUAGCUAUAUGAGGCCAGAGAAUGGUUCUUGGUUCACUAUUGUUGAAUGGUCUUGUAACUCUUCACCAUUAGUACAUGAAGCUUCAUCUUCCACUGAAAGAUCUGCCAGCUCCAGAAACUGAUUGAUUACUGUAGGAUCUUUCGACUCAGAUCCAUCAAAUGAGACCAUGUGAUUUUGUUGAACAGUAGUAGCAUAGGAAUCAUCAUAGGUAUCCCCAACACCAGAAUCUUGCAUUUCCUUUUCCAGAAUCUUUUGACUUAGAUCCAUCAAAUGAGACCAUGUGAUUGUAAUUGAAUGAAUGA
Long non-coding RNA from Magnolia sinica, 760 nucleotides. RefSeq lists it as uncharacterized. NCBI's taxonomy places the organism in Eukaryota, Viridiplantae, Streptophyta, Magnoliopsida, Magnoliales, Magnoliaceae. The record is from RefSeq and is a predicted model, not a curated record. The transcript is spliced from 3 exons.